AGAAAAAAAGGAGAUGAGACGACAGAAGCAAUGGUUGGAGGGAUGAGCUUUGGAGAUUGGGGGGAGGAACGAAUCCAGGAAUUCAGGCAGCCUCUGGAAACUAGAAAAGGCAAGGAAACAGAUUGUUUUGCUGGAGUUUCUGGAAGGAAUGCAGCCUGCUGACACCCUGAUGUUAGCCUCAUGAGACUCAUUUUGGACUUCUGCCCUCCAGAAUGGGCCAGUUUCUGUCCCAAGGUGACAUGCUUUAUCUCAGCCAAAUGGUAGCACUGGGAUGCUUGCCAUGACAGUGAAAAUGCCCCUUCCAAGCAAGACUACACUCUCUGCCAAUCUUUAGAAUUAUUUGUGAGGACUCAGGCAUGGCCUCCCUGAGCCCUCGCAUGUGACUGAUGAUCUAAGGCCCUCAAGGCACAGUUCUCUGGGUCUUUCAGAUGGGCAGUGACUGACCAGAGGUGCCUUCAGAUUCUUCUCCUAGCCCACGGAGCCACAUAAUUCAUAUCUCAGCAGAGAUGCCAUUCUUCAUCAAACCACAUUUCCUCCCCUUCCCCAGGAAGGAGAGAGAGACAGGGGAGUGGCAAGAAAGCCAAAGCUCAGUUUCACACAUAUGAAUUCAGAUCUCCCAGGAAUAUUCUUGUAGACAUGCCAAACAGUUUGAAAUAUGAGUCUGGAAUUCAAAGGGGAAGCUUUCGUUUUAGAUGCACUUUUGAGAUGAUCAAGUUUGGAGUGGAACGUUAUGAAAGCCACUAUCAAAGUUCUAAUAACAGCUCAGCCACCAGAAAGUGAUUUCAAAUUAACCCAAUUCCUUUCUUGUCUUUUGCACUCUUGUUGAAUGGCAUGAGUCAUGCAGGGCGGUAUUUCUCCCAAGCCUUCCUCUUCCUCUGUCUGCCUUUCUCCCAGGCUCCAGUUCCCCAACAUCCCUUCCCUACACGCCUCUCCCAUGACUUCUGCAUGUACCUAUGCCAUCUUUUUCCAGCUCUGCAACACAAUGCAAAACCCUACAAGAGCUUUUUGGCAAUUCCUCAAGGAGAGGAAAGAAACCUAACUCAUAAAACCAGAAUCUUUUAAGAGUAAGAAAAGCUGUCCCAGCAAAUGAGCAACAGAACUUCUGAUGCCAAAGUUUCUUCUGGGUAGAAAAGAGCACCUUUUCCUUACACAAGAUAGAAGGAAGUUUUCAGAGGCAGCAGGACAACCGGCUUCCUAAUCUGGCUAAGGGUCCCAUUGAGAUGAUGAACCGACCCUACGAUUUACAACUUGUUCAUCUGUGUCGGAUGAAAUGGUUGUAAGAGAAUCCACAUUCACAAUAGAAAGCCAAAUAAAAUGUAUGAGAAGGUAUCUUUGCAUCUUUUUGGCAUAUUUUGGAAAAGCCGCUUCCUGUUUCAAGCCAUCAUUGUUUUCAUGAGAGGAAGUGAUCAGCAUGGGGCUGUGGUGUGGAGCCAGGAUGUUCACAGCCAGCCAAGCUCUAUCGAGAGAAGAGCCAGCUGUGGGCGGGACUGCCACGCUAGAAACAGUUCAGAAAACCAGACUGCAUUGAAACCUCCUGAAGUUCGUCUGAAAAUGUGGCCCUGACUGUGAGCUGUGAAGUGUUACUAAAAGAAGAAAAUAAUACAGCAGUUGUCUGAAAUCACGAAUUAGCACUCCGAUGUGAAAAUAGGACUUGAGAAUGUCAAAUAGCUACAAUAGAUAAAAGACUGGAAAUUCUCGGUUGUACUCAUUUGCCAAAUUGGAAUAAAGAUUUGGUCUUGCUGAACCAAAUGUGGCCUGCUUCCCACAUCAGCAGAAAAA
RNAcentral lists this long non-coding RNA (1779 nucleotides) under Homo sapiens (human). RNAcentral's name for it is "HSALNT0169856". Lineage: Eukaryota; Metazoa; Chordata; Mammalia; Primates; Hominidae. The record is from RNAcentral.